GGAUGAACGCUGGCGGCGUGCCUAAUACAUGCAAGUCGAGCGAGCAGACGAGGAGCUUGCUCCUCUGACGUUAGCGGCGGACGGGUGAGUAACACGUGGAUAACCUACCUAUAAGACUGGGAUAACUUCGGGAAACCGGAGCUAAUACCGGAUAAUAUAUUGAACCGCAUGGUUCAAUAGUGAAAGACGGUUUUGCUGUCACUUAUAGAUGGAUCCGCGCCGCAUUAGCUAGUUGGUAAGGUAACGGCUUACCAAGGCAACGAUGCGUAGCCGACCUGAGAGGGUGAUCGGCCACACUGGAACUGAGACACGGUCCAGACUCCUACGGGAGGCAGCAGUAGGGAAUCUUCCGCAAUGGGCGAAAGCUUGACGGAGCAACGCCGCGUGAGUGAUGAAGGUCUUCGGAUCGUAAAACUCUGUUAUUAGGGAAGAACAAAUGUGUAAGUAACUAUGCACGUCUUGACGGUACCUAAUCAGAAAGCCACGGCUAACUACGUG
This 498-nucleotide ribosomal RNA is filed under the name uncultured bacterium. Its description in RNAcentral is "partial 16S ribosomal RNA". It matches the Rfam family "Bacterial small subunit ribosomal RNA", at positions 27 to 507 of the family's 1533-position model. The record is from RNAcentral.